GGGAGGGAUUUAGCUGUGGUUCGAUUUCCUCUUUAGCUCUCUCUGUUUUCUCCCCCUUGUGCCAGUAUGGCGAUGAAGGGGUUAAUUCUGGGUGAGCUACAUGUUGGGUGUUAAUAAGGUACUUGUUCCCUGUCCCCAAUAGAGAAAGGGCUGCUGGCCGAAACGUGUCACAUGGCCGCAGCAUGCACAAUACCCUCCCAGGACAAACUAGCUGAGCUGGAAACAUAGCUGACUUAGCAAAUGGCCCCUGUUUGGCUUUUUUGGGGCUAAAACCUGCUAUAUCCCAAGGGUUAGCCACUACAUUCUGAUUUCUCGAGAAUUCAAAGGAGUUUAUUUGUUAAAUAUUGAGAAUUUACAGUUCUCCAGGAUUCCAUAAACACUGGACUUUGGUGAGCUAAAUGUGGUCAUGUGGUAGGUCUGGCAAACAGUUUAUGUUUAUAUAUAUAUAUAUAUAUAUAUAUAUAUAUAUAUAUAUUUAUAAUAAUCCAAUGGUAUGUUUACCAAAUUUUAAUGUGUUACUGUGCUCUGUUUAGACUAUAAACUAAUUUUAAUUGGAUUAUAUGCCUGAUUUACACCUUGUACAGCACUCUGGAAUACGGUGUUGCCUUUAUAAAUAAUCAUUUGCAGUAGCUACAAUAAUGGCAUGUGUUGACUCUGCCACCAAGUAACCUAGGCCAUAUCUACCUCAGUAAUAUCAUUUGGUGAUUGCACAUAUUUGCUGUAACACCAUCACUUGGCACCAUAACUGACUAACUGGACACCUGAGUAUCCCAAAGUGGGACCGUUGUAGAGUUAUAUUUUAAAAUGGAGCAGAUAUAGUGACCAGGGCUUUUUAAAAAAAAUAUUUAUUUUUUAUUAGAUAAUUUUGAAAGUAUGUAGCGCUGUACAAUAGAAAGCAGGACAAAUGUAAUUUUUUUUUUCUUACAAAAAGAAAGAGCGGUAAAAAUGCAUUCGACACAGAUUUGCGGUGAGUUGAAAACCGAACUGCAAAAUGUAAUUUAAAUUGUCUGGUUUGGUAAACUCGUCAUUUAGUCUCAGCCUGACUAUGUUAGCAUGAAAUUGGCAAUUGUCUUUCAGUCUGAUGUUUAGUAAAAAAAAUGCUGUAAAUAAUUAUAACGCCACUAUACAUGCGUAUUCAAAAGUGCAAUUUUACUAUGGUGCUAACAUUCAGAGGACUGAGAUGCGAAUGCGCCUCCUAAUGACAAAAUUCAGGGAAAAUCCCCAUUUUCAACCAGAAAUUUAUUAUUCCGACAAUAGGUAAAGAUAAUUUGGUGUCAGGUGCGGUGAUUAUUGUCCAGUUAGCCACCUGCUAAAAAGAAGUCUGGCAUCUGUCAAGGAAAUAAUGCUCACAUUUUUAUUGAGUUAUUUAAUUUUACAAAGACAUAUAGAACUACUGUUAAUCUGGAGGUACUCCGCAAAAUGGCCUCUCCUGUUCCCUCCCAACAUGAAUGGCAAUUUGAGGGAUAAUUUUCCAAGAAAAUGGGCCUGCUGUAAUAUGGGAACCCCAUACAUCUUCUCUAAUGUGUGGAUAAUAUAACCAUAAUCUAUAAACACAAUUACAUCCCUCGUGCAGUGCAUUAAAGGGUUACUCCAAGCACCAUAACAACUUCAGUGGUUAUGGUGCUUGGAGUCUAUAUGUGUAGAGCUUUACUUUGAAACACCGCACAUACAGACUCCAUCUCCGGCAGCAUCAUUACAAAAGUUCCCGGUGGCUAUUGUAAAUUCUGUGUCUAUUGGAAGUUUGAAGUCCGCUAUAUAUAAACUUAUACACCCCUCAGUUACCCAAAAUACACCAGCACGGCCACUCCAAACACCUCUAUGUCACACAAAAUAUACCUGCACCUCUGCUAGUGAACGCCCCCCCCAAAAAAAAUACACACACCACCACCCCCCUCCCCUCGCUCCCUUGCUACACAUGUCAUGCUUUCCCUGACAUCCGUUCCCGUACAGCGCUAUGGAAUUUGAUGGCACUAUAUAAAUAAUAAAAUAACCAGUGUUGGAACAGAGUUUUAGCUAUAUUUCAGAUAUUUUGAAAUUCACUUUACCUUAAUGGGGUUGUUUACUAAAUUGAGAAUUGAAAGUCAAUUUUAAAUUCAAGGGCAUUUUGCUUGUUUAAUACACUAUCUUUGGAGUGUCCAAACAUGGCCCCACGACUGUUGUUUGGCCGGUAGAGAAUUGUAUAGAAAUGUUGUCCAACCGAAGCAGCAGUUGGGGAGGCCACAUUUGGACAUCCUGGACCAAUCGAGUCGUGGGUCACGUACCCAGCAUGCUGUGUUCUGUCAAUGUAUAUAGUUCUUUUAGAUGUUUAUUUUAUCUAUAAGCUUCCACUGCCAACAGUGAUCCUGUGUCUAAAGUGUUGAGCACACGGUUUUUGUCUCCAGUAGGUGUUAAUGUAAAUAAUAUUCCAACGCAAAAUGUCGUAAUCACACAAAUGCAAAUACUGGGUGAGGUUUGAGAUUGUAGACGCUGUUAAUUCUGGAGAACCGUAGUCUUUGACCUGAUCUCGCCUUCGCUAACAGGCGGACACUGCUAGACAAAUCCGGAUUGUAGACAUGUAGAAUCUUAGACAGAUGUUCUUUAGCAUGGUUGAAAUCCAUCUCUCAAGCUGGAAUUCUGUAGCAGCUUUUCAGAGAGCCAGCCAAAGCAUGAAAAGCAUUAAAGAAAACUGUCAUGUCUGGAAUUUACAUCUUUGAAAACAUAGAAAAUCACCUGUAACUUGUUUUAACCUUUUUUUUCCCACUUAGAUGCUCUGUUUUCUUAGAAAUUUGUAAUAAAGAGACACUGUUAUCCUCUCCCCCCUCCCACUGACAAUUAGAAUUUCAUAUAAAGGUAGAAUCUUCAUGACAUACUUAUUAAGACUCUUAGAAUGUCACUGAAAUUCCACCCAGAGAUAUACAGAGACAAAGUUGGGACUGCUUUGUCUCUGUAUUUCUCCUCCGCCUGACUUUCUUUGACAUAAGGAGGAGCCUAAGUGUCAAUCCCUGCAGCCGUUAUCAGUGACAGCUGCAGGGAAUUGGCUGUGUCUAUGGAGGAUGGUUCCCCUUGCGCAUGAGCGAGAGUACGGCAGUGAUGUCUGUGCUGCGAAUGACCAGGCUGCCCUAAGAUGGCGGCACCUACGAAGGACAGGUUCAGGUAAGAAAAACAUACCUUCAGCUUCUCCGAUCGGCCACCAGACUCCCAGCGGCGAUGUCACUGUCGAGGAACUUUGCAAAUUCGGCAAAUUACCCAAACGGUGACAGUGCCGCUUUAAAGUUUUAAUAAAUUACACCAUAAUCCAGUUCAGACAAGGCAAAGCUAGGACAAACAUUGCAAAUGAAGACGAGAAAUAGAAACAUUGUACAAUUUCUCCUCUCUCCUGUAUGCUGUCUCUAUGGUGACUGCCAGGUGGAAACAUAGUUUUAACUGUGAUUGGCAGGGAGGACACUAUAGGCACCCAGAACACUUCAUCUCAUUGAAGUGGUCUGGGUGCAGUGUCCCAGGUUUAGAUAAGCUGCAAUGUUUAUAUUGCAGGGUUAAGACUGCCUCUACUGUCUCCCGGACAGCCACGAGAGGUGCUUCCUGCAUUUCCAGAGAGUUUAACUCCGUAAAGCGACACUGGAUAUCCUGACGCUGUGCAUGAGAAUGUCCAUCAUCUUCAAAAAUUUAUUGAAUUCUUGUCUGUGGGGAAGGGCUUACGCGAGCCACACUCGACAUACAUGUGCAUUAGCUUUUCCCCAUUGCUGACGUCAGAGGAGACAGCCAGUACUGUGGGACCUCUGCGCUGGAAAUAGGUAAGUGUCUCAAUGUUUUGUUUUAACCCUUUCAACACCCAGGGGGGAGGGAGGGCAGACAAUAGGUUUAUGGUUGAGAGACACUAUAAUGUUAGGAAUACACUUUUGUGUUACUAACGCUAUAGUGUUCUUUUUAGGAUGGAGGCCUCAAUGGAGAGUUCAUAUUUCUGGAGCAGAGAAUUAGACUGGACCCAAUUACAAAAUUAGUAUUUGUGUUUCUGUUCUCUUGGGCCUAAAAGACCCCAUCUGCAACUAGACUCUGCAAACAUGUUUUAAAAUGCUUUCAUCCUGCAUUAAAAACUGGAAGAACUAAGAAUGUAUACAAUCCAUCCUUACAAGCAAGAAGAGAAAUACAGAGUGUAUUGAAUUACCUUUAGCACUUUGGGUGUUUGGAUGCUAUUUCCCAUAAGGCUUAGCCAGUCCAGGAAGGAUAUCUAUAACGCCAUAGUCCGUCAUCUUUAAAAAAUGGCUUUAUUAUUAAGCAAAACUGUCAUUUCUGGGGUACAGAAUAUCCACGGAUAAUUCAUAAGCGCCACUUGCACCUCACCAAAUGCACCGUCAGGUGUGGGAUGACCCCUCAGAAAGUUAUCAGACAGAAGUUCGAGCUCCAGAGCUUCAAACAUUAAUAUUAUGAACAAUGGAAUCAAUAGAGCCUGACUUUGUGAGAAGGUAAAUUAAUCUUAUUUAAAAGAUGUCAUCUUCUGUACCUAGUCAAACAAAUAUUCAUACGUUCAGCAUUCAUUGUAUGUAAUAUCAUUCAAAAUUGGUUCAUUAUUAAAAAAGUUAUGGACUCCUCAACCCCUACUCAGAAUUUUGGCCCACCUUGUACAAACAGUAGACAUAAGCAUCUGGAGUUGGAAGUAAAGACCACCCAAAAAAGGAUCGUGAAAAUGAGUAUAAAAAUCAGAAAUUGGUAAAACAAGAUGUCCAUAUCUGUCUGCCUACAGCAGAAAUUGCUGGGCACAUGUUGUUAUAACCAAAACACAACCUGAAGUCAGAGAGGACAAGCCAGUACAUCAAAGGUUCUGGGGGCUCUGUGCACCUUCUAAAGGCUGUCCCACAAAAUGCAUGAUACAUAUCAUACAUGUAUGGAAUAUUUUAAUUGCAGGAUACAUGUGGUAUGGAUGCAGGGGUGAAGAGAGGAGAGGCAGUUGUCAAUAUCUGAGAGGGGAGAUGUUGGUGCCUGAAAAGAACUUGUACGUCCUGUUGUGAAUCAAAAAAUCAAAAGCCAUUCUACAGCUGUGGCAGCUCUGUAGGCUUUCAAAAAAGAGUGGGAGUGCUGCUGGUGUACAAUACUCAAAUGUAGAUGUCACGUGACAGCGUCAACAUAUAUGGAGCAGAGAGGACUGGUUCAGACCUGUUCCCACAUUCUGCUUUUCAGUAGCAAAGCUGAGACUCUUUUGUGACAGUGUAGCACACACACACAGACACUAGUAACUGGUCAUGUUUGCGUUUUGCCUUUCAUGGAUGGGGCAAAGUUUUAGCAAACUCAUCACCUCAAUCUCUCCAAAUAGCUUUAAUCAUGUAUACGUCCUUACAUUGCCAUUCCACCAUGACCUGUAUUUUGUAUAUUGUUGUAUGAUAGGCCCACACACAGCCAUCCAACAUACCACAGACUUCCAAGGCAGGAUCCGUCAAUUUACCAGGGGUAUGAAACCAUGGUUGGGGGCAGUGAUCUAUAUCAAACAAUUGAGAAAAAUCACUAAAAUAUUUCAUUAUGGAGUGUUACAUUGAUUCUUUUAAAUAAAGCCUGAUUUUUAAACUCUAUAAGAAAUAUUUUACUUUUUUUUUUUUAAUUAUACAAAUGAAAAAAAUGAACCAAAACCAAGCAUUUAAACAUUGUAUAAAUACUAAUAAAUUAAUAUAUUUUUUAUUUUUGUUUAGAAAAAAAAGCAAAUAUAAUGACUUGAAAUACACAGAAUAUCAUCAGAUAAAUAGUAAAACAAACUACAUGAUUGUAUAAGAAUGGAAAAGACACAAAGAAGGUUUAUGUUGUUGAAAAAAAGGUUAAUAUUGGCCUAGCAUAUGUGCACUGUUGGGAAGAGUUGGCUGGAUAGCGUAAGGAAAUACAACUUUUAUUCACUUUUUACAACUGUGAAAUGUGCGUCGAGGGCGUCAGUGAUUUUUGUGACUAUUUCUAUUUUGAAGAAGAGAUAUGUCAUACACAGUCACAUAUCUCAGCAGAUAAGGUCAUGUGCAGAGAAUCUAUCUAAACGUAAAAUUCAUUUUUCAUCCAAAUGUACCCACACAUACUAAUCUUUUUCAAGGUUGUUCGGGAAUUUCAAAUUUAGGCAAAAAAAAUUCUUAGUCUGCUAUGCUUCCAAUUUAGCUACCCUGUUUGAAAAAAAAUAACAUUUCUGACCCUAUCAUUUGUCAAUUCUUGGUGUUCAAUCUGGAGAGCACUUGAUGUCCUGAUAACAGCAGUUGGACACCGGCCAUUUGGCCAAAGGAACCUAUCAAAAUAUAUAUAUAAAUAUAUUGUUAUUUUAUUGACAAGUGAUAGGAAAAUAAGGCAGUAAUGGCUGUCCAAAUGCAUAUCCUCUUGCACAGGCUGAGACUCCAAAAGGACAUUUAAAUUCAACCAGUUCUGCUAGCACAAAGGAAAAAUUCUAUGGAAUGCAGAUAUUUAUUCCACAACCUCACACUAAUUUACUUUUUUAAUAUCCAGUCAUUCCAGGUCUCCUACCUAUUCACCAAUUUCCACAAAACGUAAAAGGGACACACUGAGGCCUCAAUUUAAUUUUUCUGGAUAAGCUUUUCGUAUGAUCACAAUCUGUUGGAAAAACUUUUUAACUGAUUGAUCUACAGAAAUCCCCAUAGACUUUAAUGGUGACUUCUCUAGGUAAAUAAUUUGAAAAGAUUUUCUAACAGAUUCUGAUCAUUUGAAAAAGCAUUUCCAAAAUAAUUAAAUCAAGGCCACAAUACCAUAAACACUAAAACUGUGAAAAACGUAACUGAAGUAUUACUUCCAUCUGCUAUCUAGUUUCAACAAUUUGCAACAGUUCUUUGUUUAAUUAGUAGGCGAGGGUGUACAAAGACGAAUCAUUAAUAUAUUUAUAUCGGUGUAUUCUCUAAUAUUGAGUUAUGGUAAACUGACAACCAAACUGUCAAUCUGUUGUUUUGGUUUCCCCCCUCCCCCCUCAAUAGCAUUGUUAGAAAAACUCAAUGCGCCAGUUUACUUAAAUAGCCCCAGCCUACUUAUUUGCCGUAUAAAGUCUGCUUGUUAAUUAGACUGAGGCACAGUCACAAGCGCUGCUGAUAAACGGGUUUAUUUUGGGAUUCUCUAGGGAUCCCUCCAGUUUUGAAAACAGAAAAAGGAAAUGAAGGCUGCGAGAGAACACACUGAGAAGGAAAGACACACAUUAGUGACAGAAUGACAAAAGGACAGCCCUAGGAACUAAGGAAGAGGGACAGCGAGGGGGGUGAUGGAUAGAGGAGAGGGGGUCAGACAUAGGAAGAAGGGGAGAAAAGUUUUGAAUAGACAUUACCUAGUGGACUGUGGUGAAUUGCAAUCUAUUCAAAUAAUUUGGCCUACUUUUUAAAACGCCAUUUUUAAUGCAUCUCAACUGUAUAAUGAAUAGACUAUAGUGAGUUUAUUUAUAAAGAAAUGUAUUGAUGUGAUGGUAGAGAGGUGUAGGUUAUUUAAAGUGACUCUGUUCAGCCAAAUAGGACAGUGAUGUUUUAUUGUGUUCCUAACUGUAUCUAUAUAAAUUGAUAGCCAUGUAGCUAAUACAUGUGUAACAAAAACAGAACACGAGAACGGGCAAAAGAGUUGCACUUCGGUUAGUCGCCGACCAGGUCUCGAAAUGUUUUUUCUCACCUGUACCAUUACAAAGAGAAGCUGUACCAUUUGCAUAUCAGACUGAUCCCACCUAUAAGGGCAGUCCAGAUCCCAAGUGACGGCAGGUUCUCUCUGCAGCAACCCCAGACCAUUAUUUUGGCCUUCUUUUGGCCUCGUUAAUGAGAUGUAAAUAGGACCUCUAGGCCCGGCGAACACCGGAUCCACGUCUGGGUUACCCUUUUAGCUUAGGGAGAGCUUAAACAAAUGCAUAGCAAAAAACAGAGACUAUGAGAUCUCUAAGAACAGGCAAAAGCUUAGAGAAACACAGUAGCUUGACCUUAGGUUAGUCAGGUCUCAAAAUGAUUUUCCUCACUUGUUCCAUUCCAAAGAGAACCUGCAUUAUUUGCAUAUCAGGCUGAUAACCAAAAAUAAAAAACACUAAAUAGUCCUUUGAUCCAGUCCAUUGCAGCAGCCAUCUUAGAAGCAGAUGAAUUAAUAUUCUCUCUGUGCACAAUCUAGAGCAGGGGUAGGCAACCUUUUAGCAGCACUGGGCCGAUAUGGGAUUGUGAUGUCCCGAAGUGUGCCGGUCCUAUUUUUUUAAAUUGAGGUGUGUAUGCUGCCGUAUUCUGCUUGUUAUUUUUACUGCAGUUGCUUUGUAUCGUUGUAUUUGUGCGUAUAUGAGCUAUUAUAUUGUAUAUGUUCAUUAGUAGUUUAUGGUAUUGUGUAUGAUACAUAUGAAUGUGGGCUGUAUAUGGGGGCUGCUGUGGAAUUGUGUGUGUGUGUGUGUGUGUGUGAGGAUGGAUAUGUCACAUUGUGUGUUUCGUAGUGUGUGGGGGCUGUUUAGGGUAUUGCAUGUGAGAGCCUGCAUGUGGGGUUGUGUGCAUGUAUGUGGAUUGUUAGUGGUGUUGCGUUUGUGUGGAUUGUUUGUGGGCUGUUCGUAUUAUUUGUGUGAUGGGAGGGUUAUUCUGCAUUUCUGUGUAUAUCUAGCAGUGUGGGUGGCUUCCCUGGGUUCCAGUGGGGACCAGGCUAGCCAGAUACAGGUCAAGGACAGGAGCUGCAACAGCAACUGCAGGCUGCUCUACUACAGUGUGGAUUCCUAAUUAGGGAUAUCGAUAUUAGUUUUUAACCAUUACCUAACCAGGGAUAUCAAUAUUAGUUUUUAACCAUUACUAUUAAAGGUUACAUUUUAAUAUAAUUUGGGCACUCAUCUCUCGUUUCUAUACUACUACUUCUCUAGCCCUUGCGUUAACCACUAUUUUGAGUGUUCCCCUAGCUUCCACCUUCCUGCUUUGUUCUUACAGUGUGGAUUCCGAUUUACAAGUGCUGGGAGGAAGGGAUCUGAGAUCACUCACUCUAUGUGCUGCAAUGCAUACAUUGAGGAUUGUCCUUCACCACCUCUUCGUAUUAGCAGAUAUCUGAGGUUUUACUGGGACUCCUGAUAGGCCAGAGCCUGUUUGGCUCUAGCAGCCUUGAGUGCCGUGCAAAGACACCUUGAGUGCCGUGCAUGGCACUAGUGCCGUAGGUUGCCUACCCCUGAUCUAGAGACUGAAUUUGUUUACCCAUAUGAAGAAUAUCUUGUCACUUACAUGUGUUAUGUUUACCAGAAUCUAUUUAACACAUUUUUCAUAUUCAUAAUAGAUUUGUAAAAAUAUUCCUGUUACAGUUUAGUGAAAUGUAGCUCUUCUCCUACAUUUGCUCCAUGUUAUAAAGAAAACACAUGUAGCUACUAAGCUCAUACAUUGAAAAAGUCUAAUUAAGAGUAGAGAAAAUGUAAGAGUAGGAUAAGACAGAAAUAUACACGGGGUAAAUCUCACUAAGUGAGAAUUCAAGGUGAAUUCAAAAUUUAAAGGCACACUAUAGUCACCAGAACAACUUCAGCUUAACAAAGCAGUUUUUGAGUAUAGAUCAUGCUGCUGAAGUUUUACUGCUCAAAUUCACUGCCAUUUAGAAGUUGAAUCAUUUUUGUUUCAUUUAUACAGCCUUAGGCACACCUCCCCUGGCAGUGACUGACACAGCCUGCAGAAAAUCAAAAUGGUUUUCAUUUUCAUAAAGUUUCAAAAGUUUUUAUUUUUUGCUCUGUAAAUAGAACUUUAAUCACACACAGGAGGUACAGCAAGGUCUAGCAAGAACUUAACAUAGCAGGAGAUGAGAAAUUCUAAAUUAAACAGAAUUUACAAUACAGGAAGUGUAAACAUUAGAUGACUCUUUACAGGAAGUGUUUAGGAAGGCUGUGUAAUCACAUGCAGAGAGGUGUGACUAGGGAUGCAUCAAGGAAGAGAUUUAACUCCUAAAUGGCAGAGAAUUGAAUGGUGACACUGCAGUGGCAUGAUCUAUACACCAAAACUGCUUCAUUAAGAUAAAUAGCCGAACCGGAAUAAUUCUCUAAUUCAGCUAUGCUUUCAGGUCAGCUACUCUGGCACACUUUGAAUUGUCACUUUAGUAAAUAAACCUGACAGUGUUAUAAUAGUCAAUCCUUAGGAAUUCAAAGUGAAUCUAAAAUCGUGGUCAAAAUAGCUGAAUAGGAAAUAUUUUUCUCAUCAGCUAAAUUGUCAGUUCAAUUAUUCUGGCCUAGGAUUUGAAAUCCCGUGUGAAUUUCCCACAGUUCACAGAUUAGUAAAAUAACCAUCAGAAUUGUUUCACUAAACCAGGAAUUUUGGAGAACUAACAAAGGAACUGAUUUAUUUACUAUAUAGACUAGUCAAGCCAGAAAAUAUCUAUUUUGAAGAAAGUUUCAAGUAAUUUUUUCCUUUAAAUUCUCCACAUUUCUCACUGAAAAGCCGUGAGGUGACACAUGGCGAUCUUGCAAUUAUUUUUUUUUGCUUACGAUGCUACUUUGGACUAGGUUCUGCAAAUCAGUUGACAACACAUUACAAAUCUGUGUUUAGUGAAUAUUCUGCUGGGAACAGAAAUUCUUGGAGAGAAAUGUAGUUUAUAAGGAAAAGAUGCAGCAAAUCAUUCCUUAUUUCAUUUCUAAAGGCUGUGUCACCUUGGGGAGUUGCACUCGGUUGAAGAACAAUUUCACAAAGCUAUUUUUAGCCUACACCAAAAUGGAAAAUUUGUGCAUUACACAGAUGGAUCUGCUUGAAAAAAAAUAUUCAGCAAGAUAAAACAAAACAGCUAAAAGCUCCCCAUGUCAUCUGUUUUCAUGUGUUUCAUCUUGUCUCAAAUUUCGAAAGCAUUUUCCCUGUGUACAGUGCAGAAUACGUUUGCUUUUUUGGAAAUGAAAUGUUAAAGGGCUACUCCAACCUCGAUGACUGCUUCAGCUUUUAGACUCACCCAGAAGCGCUUGGUGAAGACCCGGAUAACCCCCACCGGCUUGGGGAGGGUGAGGGGGGGUGAUUAUGGGGCUCUUAUAGUCAGCAAGUAAAUUUGUGUAGCUCCAGACGGAGAGAUCGGCCACUUCUCCCGUCGAGGCUACACCAGGCCGCAAUAAGCUGGAGGCCUUAGCCACCGAACAACCAGAGUGGCGAAGUCUGUAGCCAGUACCAGAUUGCCCAGGAAGUACCAAGCGUAUGUGCCAGUGUCUGGGAAUCUAAUUGCAGGGUAGUUACACCCCUUAAAUUACUUGUAACACAGAUUAUUUCGGGAGCUCGAGCUGGCUGCGACUGUCCAGCUUGGUGUCCAAGCCCGGCCCCUUAACCCUGGCAUUUUAACAAAAUUCACUCAAUCAAAAAGUUUUUAAUCUUUUUAGGACUUAUCCCUUUUUACACUUGUCUCCAUCCAUUCAAUAAAAAGAGUACAUUUUUUAUAGUACAAAGAUCCAUUUCCUAAUUUUUUCAUCCAUGGGAAUGUGAAAUACCACUUCUAUAACUCUCAGUAGUCCUGGAUUGAGUGGGGCAGUCCUGAAUUAGGCCUCACGUCCCACCGGUUGCUUUCUCUGGUGUCCAUUUUUAGGGGAUCAAAUGAAUAUCCCCAAUAAUGGAAUGUGCGUCAGCACAUCAUUAGACACUUUCACACUUUGGACAAGCCAUUUAUUCUACACAAGAGCACAUUAAUAGAGCUCCUCACAUGGGCUUCCUUGCGUGAGGUGGCAAGUGCGAGUGACAGUCACCCCUGCAUGCGCAUUCUCUUAAUGGGGCUGUGCUAAUAGGCACUUGUCUGCCUGCCCUAUCAUUCAUCUUCAAUUUAUAUCUCCCUAUAUUUUAGGUAUGUAGCUUAUGUACCAAUGAAUGCGUUCUCUGUAGACCUAUGUAUUGGGGUGUCACCAUAUAAAUAUACACAUGCAUACUGACUGACUAACUCCCAAUAUAUAAUAUUUGUGAAUGUUGUUGUGUUUGAAGCUUUUUAUUUCUGUUUCUUUUGUAGAAACAGGUAUGGAUUUGUGUCUAUCCCUGAGUGAGCGUAGGUGAUUAAUUAGUGGUUGAGUCAUAUUGAUUGAGUCAUCUAGGAGUAUCCCGAAAUCCUGGCCCGUCAGUGCCCUUUUAGGAAUGGGUUGGAAACUCUGCUGGAAGACCAUGUGUAAAGUGUUUAUGAUUCAAUGAAUUGAAGCAACAAUGCAGUCAGUUGAUAAAGUCGAUUUGCAUGGAAAUGUAGUGAGUGUGGUACGUGGGCUGGACACUGCCCCUUUAACUGUCAUCAGGGAAACUCAAAGCACCAUCUUGUCAUCGCAAAGCAGCUCCUAUGCACAACUCUCCUGUCUUGCAGUGUGCAGGUUGUGGCAAACCAUUGAUACCCACAGACAGUCCUUUUUCAUGCUACUAAAUGCCUUCCAGUGUUUUCUUCUAGUAGACAUACCUGCCUUCUUGUCAUGGACCUGCCUGCUGUCACUGUCUUCUUGUCAUGGACCUGCCUGCUGUCACUGUCUUCUUGUCAUGGACCUGUCUGUUACUGUCUUCUUGUCAUGGACCUGUCUGUUACUGUCUUCUUGUCAUGAACCUGUCUGUCACUGUCAUCUUGUCAUGGACCUGCCUGUUACUGUCGUCUUCUAGUGGACCUGCCUGUUAAUGUCUUCUUGUCAUGGACCUGCAUGUUAAUGUCAUCUUGUCAUGGACCUGCCUGUUACUGUCUCCUUAUAGUGGACCUGCCUGUCAGUAUUUCUUACAUGAGCAAACUGAAUUUAAUGCUUUUUCUUUACUCUUCCUUUCUUAUGCAUUUUUUUUUCUAUGGGAAGCUAGUCAUAUGCUAAAAGCAUCAGCUGAAGCUCUCAGCCUAUCACCCAUGUUCAGUCCAAGGCCCUGGCUCUGACACCAAGCACUAUGCUAGAUGACAAGGUGCAGAAUGUAUGGGCACCAGUCGACACAAUAGUUUAACUCCAAGGUCUGGGCUCUGGCCCAGCUCGCUCCCCCCCCUCCCCCGUUCUUCUGCUUUCUGAAAUUCUUCAAAUGCUUCCCGAUCCGUUAUGAAGAAUAUACCUUAGGGUAAUCCAGCGCCAUGACCUCCUGGCACCAUAACAACUUCAUUUGAAUUAAGUUGUUAUGGUGCCCACACUGUUUCUUUAAUAUAUAAUUAAAGACGUGAUUAAUUCACAACUCUGCACAUGUUCUGGGUACAAUAAUAUGUGACACAUUGUUUCCCUGGCUAUAAUACCAAAUAAUGGCCCUUUCUGUUUGGUGCACUAUCACUUCUAUCUGGAAAAUGUGUUUUUACUCUUGUGACCCAGGCAUGAAAAAGAACCUAAUGGGUGGAAACAUUGGAUUGGCUACUGAGAUGGAAUAAAAUGUUACUGGAUGUGCUAAAGGAAUUGCAGUUUCAUCAUUAUCUAUACUUUUGUAGUUCUUUUUAGCUUAAGAACACACUCUUGGAAUAACAUCAUGUUUCUGGCUUUGGUCCUUGACCUAGAUUUUGAUUCUGCUGACUCUGACCUUGGCUAGUCCUCGUUACCCUAAUUUCUGGCCCUGACUAACUUUUAGUAUCCUGACACUGGCUAAUUAUAUGUUCAUGAUUGCCUCUUGUUUGUUUAUAACAGAGAUUACCCAAUAUGAGCACCUUCAAGAGAGCAUAUUGGUCUCAAUACAGGGAGUGCAGAAUUAUUAGGCAAAUUAGUAUUUUGACCACAUCAUCCUCUUUAUGCAUGUUGUCUUACUCCAAGCUGUAUAGGCUCGAAAGCCUACUACCAAUUAAGCAUAUUAGGUGAUGUGCAUCUCUGUAAUGAGAAGGGGUGUGGUCUAAUGACAUCAACACCCUAUAUCAGGUGUGCAUAAUUAUUAGGCAACUUCCUUUCCUUUGGCAAAAUGGGUCAAAAGAAGGACUUGACAGGCUCAGAAAAGUCAAAAAUAGUGAGAUAUCUUGCAGAGGGAUGCAGCACUCUUAAAAUUGCAAAGCUUCUGAAGCGUGAUCAUCGAACAAUCAAGCGUUUCAUUCAAAAUAGUCAACAGGGUCGCAAGAAGCGUGUGGAAAAACCAAGGCGCAAAAUAACUGCCCAUGAACUGAGAAAAGUCAAGCGUGCAGCUGCCACGAUGCCACUUGCCACCAGUUUGGCCAUAUUUCAGAGCUGCAACAUCACUGGAGUGCCCAAAAGCACAAGGUGUGCAAUACUCAGAGACAUGGCCAAGGUAAGAAAGGCUGAAAGACGACCACCACUGAACAAGACACACAAGCUGAAACGUCAAGACUGGGCCAAGAAAUAUCUCAAGACUGAUUUUUCUAAGGUUUUAUGGACUGAUGGAAUGAGAGUGAGUCUUGAUGGGCCAGAUGGAUGGGCCCGUGGCUGGAUUGGUAAAGGGCAGAGAGCUCCAGUCCGACUCAGACGCCAGCAAGGUGGAGGUGGAGUACUGGUUUGGGCUGGUAUCAUCAAAGAUGAGCUUGUGGGGCCUUUUCGGGUUGAGGAUGGAGUCAAGCUCAACUCCCAGUCCUACUGCCAGUUCCUGGAAGACACCUUCUUCAAGCAGUGGUACAGGAAGAAGUCUGCAUCCUUCAAGAAAACAUGAUUUUCAUGCAGGACAAUGCUCCAUCACACGCGUCCAAGUACUCCACAGCGUGGCUGGCAAGAAAGGGUAUAAAAGAAGAAAAUCUAAUGACAUGGCCUCCUUGUUCACCUGAUCUGAACCCCAUUGAAAACCUGUGGUCCAUCAUCAAAUGUGAGAUUUACAAGGAGGGAAAACAGUACACCUCUCUGAACAGUGUCUGGGAGGCUGUGGUUGCUGCUGCACGCAAUGUUGAUGGUGAACAGAUCAAAACACUGACAUAAUCCAUGGAUGGCAGGCCUUUGAGUGUCCUUGCAAAAAAAAGGUGGCUAUAUUGGUCACUGAUUUGUUUUUGUUUUGUUUUUGAAUGUCAGAAAUGUAUAUUUGUGAAUGUUGAGAUGUUAUAUUGGUUUCACUGGUAAUAAUAAAUAAUUGAAAUGGGUAUAUAUUUGUUUUUGUUAAGUUGCCUAAUAAUUAUGCACAGUAAUAGUCACCUGCACACACAGAUAUCCCCCUAACAUAGCUAAAACUAAAAACAAACUAAAAACUACUUCCAAAAAUAUUCAGCUUUGAUAUUAAUGAGUUUUUUGGGUUCAUUGAGAACAUGGUUGUUGUUCAAUAAUAAAAUUAAUCCUCAAAAAUACAACUUGCCUAAUAAUUCUGCACUCCCUGUAUACCACCAAUCUAGUGUAGAUACAUUUAUUUAGAAUAUAAACCAAAAGUUACUUACACACUAUCCCAAAUCCCUACACUUAUUUUUUUUUUAAAAACUAGAGGUUAUUUAGUAACUCCUAUGGCUAUUAGAUGUAAACCCACCUGCCAAAUCAAAGCAAACCUUUUAGGUGGGUUCUACACUAACAAUUCACCUUGAUUGCUUUAGCUUCAGACAAAGAAAUCUCUAAUGAGACAGAGAGGGGUAUUUUUUUAAACCCCUACAUACUUAUUAACAAUUAAUAGGGAACACAUAGGCUGGGCAGCAGCAUUGUAACAUAGCUGUGUGAUAAAAAAGUAAAUACAAAUACACAAAAAAAAGUCCUGCGCUCAAACUCUCACUACACCUGGGUGGCAGCAACGAUCAUAGCACUGUGCUAGAGCGUCGCUGGACGUCCUCACGCUGUGUGAGGACCUCCAACGUGUCACGUAUUCAUCCGCUUAUAGAAAUGUGGUUAAUGACAUUUACUGUCCACACAGGAAAAGUUGUGCCGAGCAGCAACCUAAUCCACAGAAGGUUUAAUGCUGAGCAGUAAUUGUGCAAAUGAAACCUGGUGUCAUAUAUUCAUCCGCUUAUAGAAAAGUGGUUAAUGACAUUUACUGUCCACACAGGAAAAGUUGUGCCGAGCAGCAACCUAAUCCACAGAAGGGUUAAUGCUGAGCAGCAAUUAUGCAAAUGAAACCUGGUAACUGACUUUGGGGUCAAAGGCCGGUUACAGCCUAUCAGAACUAAAGAAGGGGUAUUUAGGCCCAGUUCUCAGCCUGCUCAGUGCCCUUUUGUGGUUUCCCUUGUGGUUGUCCGAGAGCGCGUUCCUGUUUAUAGUUUUCUACCUGUUUUUUUUACUUUGGCUUUGUUUAUUGACUUCUCUACAUUCUGGUAUCCUGACUCCUGGCUUUCCUCGUCACUGUGUCCCUUUCUGUGUUCCCUGACCUCGGCUAGUAUUUUUGACUAUUCUUUGUACUUUAAAUCCAGCCAUUCUAAGGACCGGUAAUACGUUACUUAUUUGUCAUCCGUGCUGUGCAGUUCUACGUGCUGGAUCAAACAGUAAUCCUGACACAGCGUCGCUCAAUUCCCCACAUGCGCAUUAGGUUUCCUCAGCCGGCGGGCGGACGGGAUCUGUCUCGCCCACCAGCUGACGUGAUUACUGGGAGGAGCGACGCCGACCCGAAACCACCACGAGGAACAUCGUCGGGGUCUCAGGUAAGUUUUCACCCCUUCAGCUACCUGGGAUGGGAGGUGGGAGGGAGAGGGUACGGAUUGUUUUCCUGGCACUAGAGUUUUCCUUUAAAAAAAUGGAGGUUAUUUUGUAACAACAAUGGCCGUUAGAUGUAAGCUCCCCUGCCAUGUCAAGGUAAACCUCUUGUUGGGUCCUACAUUAACAGUUCACCUUGCUUCUUUCAGCAGAAAGGGAAAGGGUUAAUACAUGUUCAGGGGUUUAGAAAAACACCCCCCUCUGUCUCAUUUUGCUGCCCAGGAGUAGUGGGCGUUUGAGCGCAGGACUUAAUGUUGUGUCUUUACAUUUAUUUAGAACACAACUUGUCUACUGCCGCCAUUUCUAUACACUCUGCAGGGGUUAACACAUUAAUUCAAAGGACCACCUCAACUGCAAGCUUAGAGAACCUAAUCUCUGCUACAGACUCAUCUGUCCAGAGCCCCAGCUUUCUACUGCGUAAUUAUCUAUCGAGAACACCAUCAUUCUACUGCAGAAAUAUCUGUUCAGAGCACCAUUAUAUUACCGCGGAAAUAUCUAAUCAUAACAUCAGCUUUCUACUGCAGGAUUAUCUAUUGAGAACACCAUCAUUCUACUGCAGAAAUAUCUGUUCAGAGCACCAUUAUAUUACUGCUGAAAUAUCUAAUCAUAACAUCAGCUUUUUCUUGCAGGAUUACCUAUUGAGAACACCAGCAUUCUACUGCAGAUUUAUCUACUCAGAAUGUCAUGAUUCUACUGCCACAGUAUCUAACCAUAACACCAGCAUUCUACUGUAGAAAUAUUUAUUCAGAACACCAUCAGUCUACUGCCAAAAUAUCUAAUCAUAACACCAGCAUUCUACUGCAGAAAAAUCUAUUCAGAACACCAUCAGUCUGCUGCCAAAAUAUCUAUUAAUAACACCAUCAUUCUACUGCAGAAAUAUAUGUUCAGAACACCAUCCGUCUACUGCCAAAAUAUCUAAUCAUAACACCAGCAUUCUACUGCAGAAUUAUCUAUUGAGAACACAAGCUUUCUACUGCAGAAUCAUCUGGUCAGAAUGCCAUGAUUCUACUGCAGAAAUAUCCAAUCAUAACACAAGCAUUCUACUACAGAAAUAUCUAUUCAGAAUACCAUCAUUCUACUGCAGAAAUAUCUAUUGAGAACACCAGCAUUCUACUCCAACAAUAUCUAAUCACAUAACACCAGCAUUCUAGUGCAGAACAUAUAUCAAGAGCACUGUUGUUUUACUGCCGGAAUAACUAUUUAUGGAAUUCUAAACAGCUCCACCUUUCUACUGCAGGCACAGCUGAUCAGACAGCCAUUUUAUCCCUGGUGCUUCCAGCCAGAACACCAACACGGUUAUUCACUAAACACUGCAUUCUAACAAAUUUAAUUACAAAAAUGAAGCUAAUAUAGCAGGUUUACAAAACAAUCUCCAGCUUGGCUAUUUCAGUCUACAGUCCCAGCUUGGCUAUUUCAGUCUCAUUUUUGACAUUCAUAUCACAUUCGCAAAAAUUUGGUGUUAGUGAAUAACCCUUUAGUAAAUCAGCACUACCACAAACAUACACAGAACAUCUCCUGUCUAUUGCAGGUAAUCUUGGCAGAUAAUCGCCAUUCUACCAUAGGCAUCUAGAAAGCACUCUAUAAAUGUCUAAAUGCAACCAACCUUUACUUCGUAACAUUAUUAAUUCUCUCUAGAAAAUACUAUUCACUAUAAUAAGGCCUUGUUCAACUGAGGACGAAAGGGACUUAUUUAGCUGUAGGCAAGUCUUCAUUCCGUCUUGGCUCUAGAUCAAUAACUACAUUACCCUUGAUGCUGAAAGGUAUCCAGAAAAGUUGCUACAUUGUUAUUGGAAAGGAUUACUCAAAUGCCUCACAAUGUGGAAUCUUGUCCAUCAUUUCCCUCAGCUUCCUGAAGAAAAGCCAAAAAACCCUAAAACGUGUACAGAAAACAAAUGUGUUCAUCAUAAUUUCUCCUUUGAAAUACACUGAAUAAUACAUAAUCUUUUGCCCGUUUUCGGACCACACUUCUAAAAUAGAUGGACCUCUUUUACUAUCAGGUUGAAGUUAGAACAAAACUCAAUUUAGGGGUGAUGGAGCCUCAUCCAUAAGUAGAUAGCGGCUGCCUAAAGCCCAGGGAUUACCAGGGCCCAAGAACUUUGAAUUUGCUUGGCCCUAUUAAGCAUACCUUUGUGAAGAACGAUGGGGGGCCCAAACUGGUAACCUACCUACAACCACCCCGUGGGACCUUAAUCCUUCCCAUGAAGUCUACGCAAUGACCUAGAGGUUCCUUCCCUAAGCAAUGCAUUGAUAUUUAAAUAAACAUAAACUUAAAUUGCUAAAUUUGUGGAUUUUUUUCCCCAAAAAGGCUAUUUAAGUAUAAACUUUGUAUCCUGUUUGAAUACUUACACAGCUGUCUGUUUAUAGAGUGACUUUCCAUGUAAUUGUCAAUAUAACUGUUGCUAUGUAGGAGGAAGCACUAAGUAGGAACAGUGUGAUAAGUUGUGGUAUAACACAAGGGGAAACUGAUAAGGGUGGUUAUGCUGUGUAUAGGGACAAGUAUAAACACAGUAACGUUAUAAAAAUUGGAGAGGGCGUCUAGAGAAUCACAAAAAAAAAAAGAAAAAAAAAAAGGAUGAUGAUGGGACAUGUGAGUUUAAAAGGAUUUACUGCAGUUCCCAUAAAUGCAGCAAUAGAUUACUACCUACCUAUCUUGGUAUAUUAAUCCUGUCUGGUUUAUUUGGGGUUAGUUGGCAUUUAACUGUCAGGGGUUUUGCAACAAAUAAUCUAGCAAUACGUUUCAUCUUUGGAAACUGCCGGUUCAUCCUGGGUCUAUGGGUUUGCC
This 19139-nucleotide long non-coding RNA is filed under the name Pelobates cultripes (western spadefoot toad). Lineage: Eukaryota; Metazoa; Chordata; Amphibia; Anura; Pelobatidae. The record is from RNAcentral.